Molecule: long non-coding RNA, 1586 nt
Organism: Symphalangus syndactylus (siamang)
Lineage: Eukaryota; Metazoa; Chordata; Mammalia; Primates; Hylobatidae
Source: RefSeq, a predicted model, not a curated record
CGCUGUGGCAAAAAAUUAAAGCUUCAUGGAAAAAAAAAAAGGAAGAUUGACAGGAAACGAGGCUUCAAUAGGACAGCUUGCACUGAGUAGUGCUGUCCUUCUUUCUGCAUAUCAACAUAUGCAUAGGGAAAAAGAGCUCUCUCUCCUACUUGCAGCACGGAGAUUGGGAAGGGGCCUUGCCUACAUGCUGUAGGUAACAACUGGGCUGUCUUUGAUUGUUGAGAUGACGCCUGCAAGAAGGAGAUGGCAAAACCUGGAGGCGUGCGUGGGUCUGCAAAUUUGUGGCUACGACGGGACACCUGGGAUUUUAGGGCAAGACUAAGGAGUCAUCGUGGAUCAUGCAAGGGGCAUUGGACCCUACCAGGCUGGACUUUCAGAGGGGCCACACUGUCCAGCAGGCAUGCUGGGUUUUAGUUCAGAAUGGUUGCACGGGGGCCUCUUCAUCAUGAAUCUGGAAACCCUCUAUCAUUAAGGAUUAGUUCACAGAUUUCCUGAAAGUAAAAGAAAAAUGGAAAAGGAACUCAUAAAUGUCACAUCAGGCUGCCUCUUGGUGAAUUUUUAAUCAAGGGGGAGAAUUUCAGCUACAAAUAGACCAAGAAUCAAGAGGCCCGCUAUUGAUCGGUCAAAGUGGCACUUAUGAACCUGAGGUUGAAGCAGUUUGGAUAAAAGGAUUCUGGGCUUUCUAUGGCCCCAGAGACAUCUUUUUCCAUCAAGUCCAGGCCUGUGCUGAGUGCCACAGGGAACAGCAUUUAGCAACAUCAAGCAGGAGAGGCAGAGAAAGCAGCAAUAACUCCACAUAUGACUUGGAAAUUGGCUCAAUCUCGUGGAAAUCAAGCAAGAAAGGAUGGGGCGGCAGGCACUUCAGAUCUCUAGCCCCUCCUUCCAGGGCAGAGCCAUUUUAGAGACCCACGCCUUUUCCCCAUCCAUAGGCUGCUGAAGCCAGAAACAGCCCAGCACUUAAGAGGGGAGCGGAAAAUUACAUCACCAGUCUGGGCAGUAUCUUCUCAGCCUAAACCAUUAUUCCCUCCCUUCUUUUAACAAAGACGCCUAGUUUCCCACCCAAUAUCCAGUCUCCAUUUUUUUCCUAACUGAAUGUUGACUUCUCCCCCUGGGAAAUAAGAUAUCAAGGAAAAUGAUGCACCUUGUUUGCCUCCCUUGCAAGUGGGCCUGGCCCAUCCAUCAGAGCUUCAAAAGAUAGCCAGGCAGGAGUUAUUUUAUACAAUGGAAGUAAUUUCUAUGGGGCCAAGCAAUAAUAAGGAAAUCGGAAGUCAAGGACUGUCUUCCGAAUGGAGAAGAAGCUCCAUCAACCACAGAAGGAAAUUAUGAUCACUCCUGCCAUCCUGCUGCUUUGUGUAUCCAGGAUGAAGGGGAGAAUUGGAGUCUUGCACAAUGAAAGGACAACAUUGCUGCCAAAAGAAUCCAUCGCGACUGUAGGCAUAUUUUCCACCCUCAUCCUGCAGGUUUUCUGCCUGUUGUUGGCCCCUGACCAAUUUUGCUCCUGGGCAGUCUGAGGUGGAACAUAAUUUUUAUAAAACAAAUUAUGCUCAGUCUCACUUAUAAUCAGGGAAAUGUGAGUCAAAGCCACA